RNAcentral lists this non-coding RNA (29 nucleotides) under Mus musculus (house mouse). Lineage: Eukaryota; Metazoa; Chordata; Mammalia; Rodentia; Muridae. The record is from RNAcentral.
UGAUCUUGGAGGAAUGGGUCUCUGGUUGC